Molecule: ribosomal RNA, 1263 nt
Filed under: metagenome
Description: bacterial SSU rRNA
Rfam family: Bacterial small subunit ribosomal RNA
Source: RNAcentral
UAUCAGUUUGUUGGUGGGGUAACGGCCUACCAAGGCGACGACGGGUAGCGGGACUGAGAGGUUGACCCGCCACAUCGGGACUGAGACACUGCCCGGACCUCCACGGAGGGCUGCAGUAACGAAUAUUGCGCAAUGGGCGAAAGCCUGACGCAGCGACGCCGCGUGUAGGAUGAAGCCUUUCGGGGUGUAAACUACUGUCAGGGGUUAGAAAAUAUGCUUCGGUAUAUUGAUCAGCCCCAAAGGAAGUCACGGCUAACUUCGUGCCAGCAGCCGCGGUAAUACGAAGGUGGCGAGCGUUGUUCGGAAUCACUGGGCUUAAAGCGCGCGUAGGCGGAAUGGUGGGUGUCUUGUGAAAUCCCUCGGCUUAACCGAGGAAUUGCUUGGCAAACUGCCAUUCUUGAGGCAAGUAGGGGUGCAUGGAACUCUUGGUGGAGCGGUGGAAUGCGUAGAUAUCAAGAGGAACGCCAAAGGUGAAGACAGUGCACUGGGCUUGUCCUGACGCUGAGGUGCGAAAGCGUGGGGAGCGAACGGGAUUAGAUACCCCUGUAGUCCACGCCGUAAACGAUGUCUACUAGGUUGUGGAGGUUCUGACGCCUUCACAGUCGAAGCAAAAGUGUUAAGUAGACCGCCUGGGGAGUACGGUCGCAAGGCUAAAACUCAAAGGAAUUGACGGGGGCUCACACAAGCGGUGGAGCAUGUGGAUUAAUUCGAACAACGCGCAGAACCUUACCUGGGUUUGACAUGCUUGGAUGCCGCUCUGGAAACAGAGUUGGUUGCCUUCGGGUGAAACUUGCACAGGUGCUGCAUGGCUGUCGUCAGCUCGUGUCGUGAGAUGUCGGGUUAAGUCCUUUAACGAGCGAAACCCUUGCCGUUAGUUGCCAGCGGGUCAUGCCGGGGACUCUAGCGGGACUGCCGGUGUUAAACCGGAGGAAGGUGGGGAUGACGUCAAGUCCUCAUGGCCUUUAUGCCCAGGGCUUCACACGUGCUACAAUGGCGGCAACAGAGCGAUGCGAUGCCGUGAGGCGGAGCAAAUCGCAAAAAAAGUCGCCCCAGUUCGGAUUGCAGGCUGACAACUCGCCUGCAUGAAGUUGGAAUCGCUAGUAAUCGCGUAUCAGCUACGACGCGGUGAAUGUGUUCCUGAGCCUUGUACACACCGCCCGUCAAGUGAUGGGAGCUGGGAGUACCCAAAGUCGGGUUGCCAACCUUUUAGGAGGCGCCUGCCUACGGUAAGCUCGGUGACUGGCACUAAGUCGUAACAAGGUA